GGCCCUAUCGUCUAGCGGUCUAGGACGUGGCCCUUUCAAGGCCAAAACUCGGGUUCGAUUCCCGAUAGGGUCA
This 73-nucleotide transfer RNA is filed under the name Anaerolineae bacterium. RNAcentral describes it as "tRNA-Glu". It matches the Rfam family "tRNA". From Rfam's summary of the family: Transfer RNA (tRNA) molecules are approximately 80 nucleotides in length. Their secondary structure includes four short double-helical elements and three loops (D, anti-codon, and T loops). The record is from RNAcentral. Lineage: Bacteria; Bacillati; Chloroflexota; Anaerolineae.